CCUACGGGUGGCAGCAGUGAGGAAUAUUGGUCAAUGGGCGGAAGCCUGAACCAGCCAAGUAGCGUGCAGGAUGACGGCCCUACGGGUUGUAAACUGCUUUUAUACGGGAAUAACGCGCCUUACGUGUAGUGCUUUGCAUGUACCGUAUGAAUAAGGACCGGCUAAUUCCGUGCCAGCAGCCGCGGUAAUAAGGAAGGUCCGGGCGUUAUCCGGAUUUAUUGGGUUUAAAGGGCGCGUAGGCCGCAUGGCAAGCGUGCUGUGAAAUGUCCGGGCUCAACCCGGGCCUUGCAGCGCGAACUGGCGUGCUGGAGUCCGCGGAAAGCAGGCGGAAUUCGUCGUGUAGCGGUGAAAGGCUUAGAUAUGACGAAGAACCCCGAUUGCGAAGGCAGCUUGCUGCAGCGGAACUGACGCUGAUGCUCGAAAGCGCGGGUAUCGAACAGGAGUAGAUACCCUAGUAGAC
RNAcentral lists this ribosomal RNA (460 nucleotides) under uncultured bacterium. RNAcentral's name for it is "partial 16S ribosomal RNA". It matches the Rfam family "Bacterial small subunit ribosomal RNA", at positions 338 to 795 of the family's 1533-position model. The record is from RNAcentral.